This 370-nucleotide ribosomal RNA is filed under the name uncultured bacterium. Its description in RNAcentral is "bacterial SSU rRNA". It matches the Rfam family "Bacterial small subunit ribosomal RNA", at positions 28 to 396 of the family's 1533-position model. The record is from RNAcentral.
GACGAACGCUGGCGGCGUGCUUAACACAUGCAAGUCGAGCGGUAAGGCCCUUUCGGGGGUACACGGAGCGGCGAACGGGUGAGUAACACGUGGGUGACCUGCCCUUAGCUCUGGGAUAAGCCUGGGAAACUGGGUCUAAAUACCGGAUAUGACUCCAUGACGCAUGUUGUGGGGUGGAAAGCCUUGUGCGGCUAGGGAUGGGCCUGCGGCCUAUCAGCUUGUUGGUGGGGUGAUGGGCCUACCAAGGCGACGACGGGUAGCCGGCCUGAGAGGCGACCGGCCACACUGGGACUGAGACACGGCCCAGACUCCUACGGGAGGCAGCAGUGGGGAAUCGUUGCGCAAUGGGCGAAAGCCUGACGCAGCGACG